Molecule: ribosomal RNA, 332 nt
Filed under: uncultured Allapsidae
Lineage: Eukaryota; Cercozoa; Glissomonadida; Viridiraptoridae
Description: SSU rRNA
Rfam family: Eukaryotic small subunit ribosomal RNA (bases 119-332)
Source: RNAcentral
GAUUUCUGACGAAACUGCUAGCUGGCCCGCCUCGCAAGAGUGUGAGUGCCGGCUUGGCGUUUGUCAUCCGUUCGAAUGCAUGAACGGCUGCCCUUCACUGGGUUGGCCGUUUCAGUGUUCGAUCUUUUACUUUGAAAAAAUUAGAGUGUUUCAAGCAGACAUGGAUGUUAUGAAUACAUUAGCAUGGAAUAAUAACUUAGGACUUUCGGUUCUAUUUUGUUGGUGUUCUGGAGCUGAAGUAAUGAUUGAUAGGGAUAGUUGGGGGUGCUAGUAUUCAAUGGCCAGAGGUGAAAUUCUCGGAUUCCUUGAAGACUAACUUAUGCGAAAGCAUU